GUGAGGAAUAUUGGUCAAUGGGCGGGAGCCUGAACCAGCCAAGUCGCGUGAAGGAAGAAGGAUCUAUGGUUCGUAAACUUCUUUUGCAGGGGAAUAAAGUGCGGGACGUGUCCUGUUUUGUAUGUACCCUGAGAAUAAGGAUCGGCUAACUCCGUGCCAGCAGCCGCGGUAAUACGGAGGAUCCGAGCGUUAUCCGGAUUUAUUGGGUUUAAAGGGUGCGUAGGUGGUUUGAUAAGUCAGCGGUGAAAGUUUGCAGCUUAACUGUAAAAAUGCCGUUGAAACUGUCGGACUUGAGUGUAAAUGAGGUAGGCGGAAUGCGUGGUGUAGCGGUGAAAUGCAUAGAUAUCACGCAGAACUCCGAUUGCGAAGGCAGCUUACUAAGCUACAACUGACACUGAAGCACGAAAGCGUGGGGAUCAAACAGGAUUAGAUACCCAAGUAGUCC
Molecule: ribosomal RNA, 445 nt
Filed under: uncultured bacterium
Lineage: Bacteria
Description: partial 16S ribosomal RNA
Rfam family: Bacterial small subunit ribosomal RNA
Source: RNAcentral